RNAcentral lists this ribosomal RNA (460 nucleotides) under uncultured bacterium. Its description in RNAcentral is "partial 16S ribosomal RNA". It matches the Rfam family "Bacterial small subunit ribosomal RNA", at positions 338 to 795 of the family's 1533-position model. The record is from RNAcentral.
CCUACGGGGGGCAGCAGUGAGGAAUAUUGGUCAAUGGACGAGAGUCUGAACCAGCCAAGUAGCGUGAAGGAUGACUGCCCUAUGGGUUGUAAACUUCUUUUAUAUGGGAAUAAAACAGGGUAUGCAUACCCUCUGGUAUGUACCAUAUGAAUAAGGAUCGGCUAACUCCGUGCCAGCAGCCGCGGUAAUACGGAGGAUCCGAGCGUUAUCCGGAUUUAUUGGGUUUAAAGGGAGCGUAGGCCGGCUUUUAAGUCAGCUGUGAAAGUCCGCGGCUCAACCGUGGAAUUGCAGUUGAAACUGGAGGCCUUUAGUGCACACAGGGAUGCCGGAAUUCAUGGUGUAGCGGUGCAAUGCUUAGAUAUCAUGAAGAACUCCGAUCGCGAAGGCAAGUGUCCGGGGUGCAACUGACGCUGAGGCUCGAAAGUGCGGGUAUCAAACAGGAUUAGAUACCCUGGUAGUC